UCUGGCAGCCCUUCCCAAGGGCGUUUCCUCCCAAGACUUCGGGCCGCUCCCUCGGGAGUGGCCUUUUUUCUGCGCGCC
Molecule: non-coding RNA, 78 nt
Organism: Methylobacterium radiotolerans JCM 2831
Lineage: Bacteria; Pseudomonadati; Pseudomonadota; Alphaproteobacteria; Hyphomicrobiales; Methylobacteriaceae
Source: Rfam